Oryzias latipes (Japanese medaka) is the source of this 1101-nucleotide non-coding RNA. The record is from RefSeq and is a predicted model, not a curated record. NCBI's taxonomy places the organism in Eukaryota, Metazoa, Chordata, Actinopteri, Beloniformes, Adrianichthyidae.
CGCCAUGGUGCCUACAUAAACACAGCAAACUCAGAACAUUUUUGGAACCGCUGUAAAUAAAUGCUCAUGAACGCCAAGAUGACCUGACACCCUUGCUGUAGCAGUGAAAUCCUUCAUCCUGUGGAGCAGCAGUGUUGUGAGAAAAGCAGACGGGGGCCACUAACACCAGACAAUACAGAGAAGUCUGACUUCUACCUGUCCAGCGUUCUUUUGUCCAUAAUGAUCUGAUGAGUUCCCAUACAGUAGGUAGCAGUUUGCAGUCUCUGUUGGUUCACCAUCCACCAACAUAGAAGUAGAAUUACAUUGUUUUUUAGUUUUUUAGAGAUGUGGGUAGGUUGCAAAAAGGUGUUUUAGGGACAAAACUGUUUUUUUUUUCUGAUUUCCACAUGGACUGUCUUAUUGAACGUCAUGUCAGUUUGGUUUACGUUGUUGUUUUAGCAGCAAUGUCACAGUGGGACAAAAAAGUAUUUGUCAAUCACAGAUUCUGAAAGUUGUCUUACUUAAAAACGUGAGAGAGGUCUAUAGACCUAAUGUUAAACUGUGAGAGAGACAGAAUGUAAAUGAAUGCCUAGUCCACUUCAGAACCUUUGUUGUGACUUUUACAAAAGUGAAUUUCACAAAAUCUGAUGAGUUUCUUUAAUUCAGAGGCAGCGUGUAUGGGGUAGAUGGUGUACACUGAGCGUAUAGCGCUUUUUUCCUUCCUCAAAGGUCCAAAGUGCUUCACAGUCACAGUCCCAUUCACACACUCAUAGUGCCUCUGCUGCUGAACACUGGCACCAACCAAUAACCACCAGAUGCAAUGUGGGGCUCAGUGUCUUGCCCAAGGAUACAGAGGGAGGCAAGCCAGGAAUCAAACAUGCAGUCUUCCAAUCAGAGGUCAACCGCCCUGCCACUGCGCCAUGGCAGCCCCAUAAUGAAGGAUAAUGGAAAAAGUCCAGUGUUUAUUUAGAGCAGAAUGUUAAUACUAACAUGAAGUUAGCUAUAACUGUUUGAAGUUGAACCCAGGUCAGUUUUUAAUUUUAUAGUUGUUUUUUUUUUUAGCAAAACAGCUUAACUGACCAUUUUUGGUGAGCUAUUAUUCACUUUAUUGGUAAAAAAAAC